This 369-nucleotide ribosomal RNA is filed under the name Alcaligenes faecalis. Its description in RNAcentral is "bacterial SSU rRNA". It matches the Rfam family "Bacterial small subunit ribosomal RNA", at positions 19 to 381 of the family's 1533-position model. Lineage: Bacteria; Pseudomonadati; Pseudomonadota; Betaproteobacteria; Burkholderiales; Alcaligenaceae. The record is from RNAcentral.
CCUGCUCAGAUUGAACGCUAGCGGGAUGCUUUACACAUCAAGUCGAACGGCAGCACGAGAGAGCUUGCUCUCUUGGUGGCGAGUGGCGGACGGGUGAGUAAUAUAUCGGAACGUGCCCAGUAGCGGGGGAUAACUACUCGAAAGAGUGGCUAAUACCGCAUACGCCCUACGGGGGAAAGGGGGGGAUUUUCGGAACCUCUCACUAUUGGAGCGGCCGAUAUCGGAUUAGCUAGUUGGUGGGGUAAAGGCUCACCAAGGCAACGAUCCGUAGCUGGUUUGAGAGGACGACCAGCCACACUGGGACUGAGACACGGCCCAAGACUCCUACGGGAGGCAGCAAGUGGGGAAUUUUUGGACAAUGGGGGAAAC